RNAcentral lists this ribosomal RNA (253 nucleotides) under uncultured bacterium. Its description in RNAcentral is "partial 16S ribosomal RNA". It matches the Rfam family "Bacterial small subunit ribosomal RNA", at positions 524 to 776 of the family's 1533-position model. The record is from RNAcentral.
UACGUAGGGUGCAAGCGUUGUCCGGAAUUAUUGGGCGUAAAGAGCUCGUAGGCGGCUUGUCGCGUCUGCUGUGAAAACCCGAGGCUCAACCUCGGGCCUGCAGUGGGUACGGGCAGACUAGAGUGCGGUAGGGGAGAUUGGAAUUCCUGGUGUAGCGGUGGAAUGCGCAGAUAUCAGGAGGAACACCGAUGGCGAAGGCAGAUCUCUGGGCCGUAACUGACGCUGAGGCGCGAAAGCAUGGGGAGCAAACAGG